GCCAACUGCGUAGAGAGGGAGAGCGAAAAGAGUUGAAGAGAAACUAUCUCGACAUCUUAAGUUUUUGAAAAAAUUAGAGUCGCCCGUUUUGAUUAAAAAAAUCCUGUACAGUUUUUAGCCUUACGCAUAUUUAAAAUAUAUAAAAACAGUUCUUUACCGAAAAUAAUUUACGUAACAAAUAUACAAUUCUGGCAGUAACGGGUCUUUCCCUAUCUUCUUCGCGGAACUGCAGUGCUCUAAAGCCGUCUUCCUCCAAGCAACUAAGAGAGCACCUUCAAGUGUUUAAUCUCUUCUGUUGGCCCCUCCUGAACCCCAGACUGGUGAUUGGUCAUUGCUGUCAGUUCCUGCAGUGGGUGUCCAAGACUUGCCAGGAUUUUCCAGUCCUUCCAAUCAUUCGACUCCCUCUUGCUUUGACUGCACUGCCUUUGAAGUUUUUACAUUUUGCUUGGGAAUCUCUGCAGUUACGCUGAGGGAGACCAUUUCCUUUUGCCUAAAUGAAGUGGACUCCAUGCCUUAAUGGCAAAUACAUAAUUGCUGAAGUGGUCUACAUUGGGGAGAUUUGUCUAAGGAAUUAAGAAUUGUGAUAAAGCCACACCAGAACUUCAGGCUCAGCAAAGAUCGGCCAUAUCUAGAUUGUACGUGGCACUGGAGUGCAUACAAAUUGAGCACAGGAAGGAGGCACUUCGCUACAUUAAGGGGGAGAGUGGACCGUGAACUGUUGCAAGGAAGUAUCCGAUUUUGAUUUUAACAAACAAAAAACGUGAUUGUUCAUGAAAUGUUCAGCAGUUCAUAACCUUUGUGGUGCUCUCUAGGUUGCCCUUUCUGUUGUCAUUAGUUUACGACUUGCCUGGGUUUUCUUUCACCUCCAUCAUGACUCACUCCCAAGGGAGUAAUGAGGCUGAGAACUAAGUGGCUGGGGCGGUUUUGUGUUGUGAUUUAAGACACAUACAGUACACUCCCUUUUUGUCUGGCAAUCCUGCAGACGAAGGCGAAUAAUAAGAAGUGAGCAGAAGCAGAGAUUCUCUAAGCUGUGGAGAAAUGCCUUCCAUACACAGCGGAGUCAUCUCUCUGGGGAUAUUCCUCAUGGGUACUGGGGUCCUCAUGUUUCUAUGUUUAGGAAACUCUUGGGAGGCCCAAGGAGCAAGAUUGUUUGGCCUGGCCUUGGCGGUAUUUGGUGCCAUCCUGAUAGUGUUGGGACUGUACUUGGCCAUGAAAUCGCAGCAUGUCACCACUACAGGACACUUUCCACUCCACCUAGGGGCCUGCACCCGUUACCAUGGAAGCCAGGCUGUUAUCAUACAGAGGAGACUUGACAGGAUAAGGAGAGUUGUUUCCGAAGACAGAGAGCAUGUCCAAGCCCCUCCCAGUCACAGCCAUCACAGCAUUCUGGGAUACCCCCCACUUUGGGACCUGGACCCUCCGCCUUCGUAUGAGACUGUUAUGAAGAGCACCAUGAGCACGGCACGGCUCUGACUGACUCCACAAACAGAAACACGGUGCAGCUCAGCAAGAGUAAAUAGUAAACUCUUUUUCAUGCCCUGCUUGGAAUACAGAUCUGCUAUUUAUCCUUCCCCACACUUUUUCUCCUGCCUGACCUGAAAGAACCUAAGAAACCACACAGCACUUCUUAUAUCAGGGUUGGUCUUUUAUUUCUGUACUAGGGAGCAGACAAGACAUUGCUCACCUACAUGAAGCUGAAGGCUUAGACACUUUGAGAUACAGGUCAUAUUUCUUUCUUCCUCUAGCAUAGCAAGCAGACUCUCUGGAAUGCUCCAUGUUCUCAAACUGAUCAUAAGUGUCCAUACAGUGUACUUCUGCCCUUUUAGAAGCUGAACAUCAUAUAAACAGGUCAUGCAAAAAAGUCAGUUAAUAGUAAAAGUGCUGGUAUGGCCCUGGGGGAAAAGCAAGGAAUAUGAGUUCUCAGAUUAAUCAUGGUAAACUUUUUUAUGGGUUUGCCAGGACAAAGGCAAGAGUGAUUUGUGGCUGGCCAGACUGGUGCCCAGCUCGUUUCUGGAAAUUCGGGAUGUUUCUGGAAUUUUCAGUUAAUGAAAAACAGAUAUGAUGUUCUGCUUUGUUUGAAAGGUGACAUUUUCACCUGUUUCUGAGAUGCGGGACGAUUUCCUUCUCCCUGAGAAAGCACCUCUUUGUGCUGCUCCAUCCACAGCUGAA
Non-coding RNA from Lepisosteus oculatus (spotted gar), 2169 nucleotides. The record is from RefSeq and is a predicted model, not a curated record. Lineage: Eukaryota; Metazoa; Chordata; Actinopteri; Semionotiformes; Lepisosteidae.